Oreochromis aureus is the source of this 428-nucleotide long non-coding RNA. The record is from Ensembl. NCBI's taxonomy places the organism in Eukaryota, Metazoa, Chordata, Actinopteri, Cichliformes, Cichlidae.
GAGAAGGAGAAAAAAGUUAUUCCUACCAGUUAUGAGUCACCUUAUCCUCAUCUGGCUGCCAGUGGACGGAACAACCCCUGCCCUGUCUUCAGCUGGCCGGAGCAGCAGUUUCCUAGAAUGUCCUACAGGUCUACCUCAUUGCCCAGACCUCUAAAUGUCGCUGAAUCUGAUGGCGAGGCGCAGCAUGACACAAGGGUCAUCACAGAUAGCCAACUCCUAUCUGCCUCCCCAGGCAAGACUUAAAGCUUUGACUGUCGGUUUGCGGUUAUAGUUCAAACUUGGCUUCAGCAUUCAGACGACCAGGAGCAGCAGAAGCAGCACCAACUACACACACAUGAGAGCCGGAGCACAGAGAAAAAUAUGAAAAAGAUAUAUAUUGGCAAAACUGCUCUCAAAACCCAGAGAAACGGUUGCAAACAUCAAAAAAG